UAAGACUUCAUGUGGUUGGAA
Molecule: non-coding RNA, 21 nt
Filed under: Arabidopsis thaliana (thale cress)
Lineage: Eukaryota; Viridiplantae; Streptophyta; Magnoliopsida; Brassicales; Brassicaceae
Source: RNAcentral